Long non-coding RNA from Passer domesticus (house sparrow), 365 nucleotides. RefSeq lists it as uncharacterized. The transcript has 4 exons. Lineage: Eukaryota; Metazoa; Chordata; Aves; Passeriformes; Passeridae. The record is from RefSeq and is a predicted model, not a curated record.
AGAAAUGAAAGGAGAGCCUGUGCAGAAGGAAGCAUUUCCCAGAGGAAGCAGUGGUUCCCUGCCAGCCUCUGCUGCAGGAAGGGAGGCCAUGCCAGGCACAGACACAGGAGAUGAAGUUGCUGGGAAGGCUUCUCCAUCAGCUUGGAUGAAUAAAGUUUUGAAGCCCUUGGAGCCUCCUGCAGAUGUAUCUACAGGGAGGACUUCUCCAGCUUCUCCAGCUCCUACCUUGGAUGCUAUACGCAAGCCCAGCUCCCGUCACAGUGGUACUCCAACAGGGAAAGUCCAAGAUACAACAGAUAAGAUGUCCCUGCAACCUUCCAAACAGAUGAGGCAAGAGCUGAAGGAACCCCUGCAGACAAGAGAAG